Molecule: microRNA precursor, 103 nt
Filed under: Marmota monax (woodchuck)
Lineage: Eukaryota; Metazoa; Chordata; Mammalia; Rodentia; Sciuridae
Source: RNAcentral
AGUGCAAUUGCUGAGUCACAUGGAAAUUGCAUGUUAAGUUUUAUAAGAAACUGCCAAACUGUUUUCCAAAGUAGCUGUAGCCUUUGACUUUUCCACCAGCAGU